CCUACGGGUGGCAGCAGUGGGGAAUAUUGCACAAUGGGGGAAACCCUGAUGCAGCGACGCCGCGUGAGUGAAGAAGCGUUUCGGCGCGUAAAGCUCUGUCAGCGGGGAAGAAACACGGUUCGCGAGAGCCGCGGACGGUACCCGACCAAGAAGCCCCGGCUAACUACGUGCCAGCAGCCGCGGUAAUACGUAGGGGGCAAGCGUUAUCCGGAUUUACUGGGUGUAAAGGGAGCGUAGACGGUUAUGUAAGUCUGGAGUGAAAGCCCGGGGCCCAACCCCGGGACUGCUUUGGAAACUGUGUAACUGGAGUACAGGAGGGGCAGGCGGAAUUCCUGGUGUAGCGGUGAAAUGCGUAGAUAUCAGGAGGAACACCGGCGGCGAAGGCGGCCUGCUGGACUGAAACUGACGUUGAGGCUCGAAAGCGUGGGGAGCAAACAGGAUUAGAUACCCGAGUAGUC
Molecule: ribosomal RNA, 458 nt
Filed under: uncultured bacterium
Lineage: Bacteria
Description: partial 16S ribosomal RNA
Rfam family: Bacterial small subunit ribosomal RNA
Source: RNAcentral